CUCCGGAACCUCCAAUCGCUAGUAAUCCCCCAUCACCAUCCCGGGGUCAAUACGUUGCCCCGCCUUCUACACACCCCCCGUCACACCACGAGAGUUUCUAACACGCCAAGUCCGUCACCUAACCUUUUACGACCCACCCCGCGAACGUCGGACACAUCAUUCCCGUCAACUCCUAACAAGCUAGCCCUAUCCCAACCUCGCCCUCCAUCACCUCCUUUCUAACGAUAUUAUACCGAAUAUAACACCCAACCUCUUAUAAACAGAACCUUCCCUCUCUUCUUUACUUUUGAACCAUCAUUCCUUCCAAACCUCUUCUUUGAAAACUACAUAACACUACACAUCACAUUCAAUUAGUAACAGAACAUAUCACAUACUCAUUCUUUUUAACCCUUAACUUACAAACCGCCCACCCUCGAUCCCUUGGCAGUACCAGGGCAUCAACCACCGGACGAACACCCAU
RNAcentral lists this ribosomal RNA (460 nucleotides) under Bacillus subtilis. Its description in RNAcentral is "16S ribosomal RNA". Lineage: Bacteria; Bacillati; Bacillota; Bacilli; Caryophanales; Bacillaceae. The record is from RNAcentral.